UUUCCGUAGGUGAACCUGCGGAAGGAUCACUAAAGAACGCCCCGUUUUUUGAAAUGGGUAAUUCUAAACCGUGUAUACAUACCUUUGUUGCUUUGGCAGGCCGCCCCUCAGGGCGUCGGCUCCGGCUGACUGCGCCUGCCAGAGGACCCAAACUCUUUUGUUUAGUGAUGUCUGAGUACUAUAUAAUAGUUAAAACUUUCAACAACGGAUCUCUUGGUUCUG
This 222-nucleotide unclassified non-coding RNA is filed under the name plant metagenome. Its description in RNAcentral is "partial contains small subunit ribosomal RNA, internal transcribed spacer 1, and 5.8S ribosomal RNA". The record is from RNAcentral.